GACGAACGCUGGCGGCGUGCCUAAUACAUGCAAGUCGAGCGGACUUAAAAAGCUUGCUUUUUAAGUUAGCGGCGGACGGGUGAGUAACACGUGGGCAACCUGCCUGUAAGACUGGGAUAACUUCGGGAAACCGGAGCUAAUACCGGAUAAUCCUUUUCUACUCAUGUAGAAAAGCUGAAAGACGGUUUACGCUGUCACUUACAGAUGGGCCCGCGGCGCAUUAGCUAGUUGGUGGGGUAACGGCUCACCAAGGCGACGAUGCGUAGCCGACCUGAGAGGGUGAUCGGCCACACUGGGACUGAGACACGGCCCAGACUCCUACGGGAGGCAGCAGUAGGGAAUCUUCCGCAAUGGACGAAAGUCUGACGGAGCAACGCCGCGUGAGUGAUGAAGGUUUUCGGAUCGUAAAACUCUGUUGUUAGGGAAGAACAAGUACGAGAGUAACUGCUCGUACCUUGACGGUACCUAACCAGAAAGCCACGGCUAACUACGUG
Molecule: ribosomal RNA, 494 nt
Filed under: uncultured bacterium
Lineage: Bacteria
Description: partial 16S ribosomal RNA
Rfam family: Bacterial small subunit ribosomal RNA
Source: RNAcentral